Carya illinoinensis is the source of this 802-nucleotide long non-coding RNA. RefSeq lists it as uncharacterized. The transcript is spliced from 2 exons. The record is from RefSeq and is a predicted model, not a curated record. NCBI's taxonomy places the organism in Eukaryota, Viridiplantae, Streptophyta, Magnoliopsida, Fagales, Juglandaceae.
UUGAGCCCUAACCCUCACCCCCUCCUUCCCGAUUCCUCUCCCUUGAGCCCUAACCCCCAUCCCUUCCUUCCCUCUCCCUCAGGAACCUAUCAAUUCCUCUCCAUCAAGACCUAGCCCCCCCACCCCUUCCUUCCCUCCCAUCGAACUAGAGCCCUUGAUACGAAAUACCAAUUGUUUCUCGUUGUUGGUAGUUGCAAUACUUGAGCUUUACUUGGGCUCCUAGUGAUCCAGAAUUGACAGAAUAUGAAAUACAAUGACAGUAGUGCUAGUGAGAGUAGUGCCAGUUUCGAGAGUCCAUUUUGCUACUGUGAGAUUCCAUCCAAGCUUAGGAUUUCAGGCAAGGCUACUAGUUUUGGCAAACGGUUUUACAACUAUCCAAAUUAUAAAAUCAACAAGCAAUGUAGAUUUUUUCAAUGGAUCGAUCUUGAAAUGGAACUAAACACAUGUUGCAAGAUGACGUUGGAGCUAGCUCAAAGAAGGAACAGCAUAAUAAUGAAAGAACGUGUAAUGACUGAAGAAGCCAAAUUUACUGCUAUGAAGAAGAAGUAUAAAGGAACCUUAAAAGCUUUAUAUUUGUCAUGGUCUUGUUUUGUUCUGAUUUUGGCUGUAAUCAUUUUGUAUCUCAUCAACAAUUAUGUACAUCGGCCUCUUGUUUCAACCAAUGGGCACGCUGGCUGUUUGUGAAUUUGACAUUGUAAUGUUGUACUUAUUUUGGAAAUGUAAUGAUACUUAGCUUGUAAUGUUGAACUUAUUUUGAAAAUGUAAUGAUACUUAGCUUGUAAUGUUGAACUUAUUUUGGAAA